RNAcentral lists this ribosomal RNA (491 nucleotides) under uncultured bacterium. Its description in RNAcentral is "bacterial SSU rRNA". It matches the Rfam family "Bacterial small subunit ribosomal RNA", at positions 32 to 507 of the family's 1533-position model. The record is from RNAcentral.
AACAACGCUGGCGGCGUGUCUUAAGCAUGCAAGUUGAGCGGCAAGGCGGAGCAAUCCGCCCUAGAGCAGCGGACUGGUGAGUAACGCGUGGGUGAUCUGCCUCGUGGGAUGGGGAUAGCCACUAGAAAUAGUGGGUAAUACCGAAUGAGGUCAUAGAGUUGCGGCCCUAUGAUGAAAGGCGCUACGGCGCCACCUGGAGAUGAGCCUGCGUCCCAUUAGCUAGUUGGUGGGGUAAAGGCCUACCAAGGCGAUGAUGGGUAGCCGGCCUGAGAGGGUGUACGGCCACACUGGGACUGAGAUACCGGCCCAGACUCCGUACGGGAGGCAGCAGCUAAGAAUAUUCCGCAAUGGACGAAAGUCUGACGGAGCGACGCCGCGUGGAUGACGAAGGCCGAAAGGUUGUAAAAUCCUUUUGUCGAGGAAGAAUAAGCUAGGGAGGGAAUGCCCUGGUGAUGACAUGAAUCGAUGAAUAAGCCCCGGCUAACUACGUG